UACGUAGGGGGCAAGCGUUAUCCGGAUUUACUGGGUGUAAAGGGGGCGCAGACGGCGAUGCAAGCCAGGAGUGAAAGCCCGGGGCCCAACCCCGGGAUUGCUCUUGGAACUGCGUGGCUGGAGUGCAGGAGGGGCAGGCGGAAUUCCUGGUGUAGCGGUGAAAUGCGUAGAUAUCAGGAGGAACACCGGUGGCGAAGGCGGCCUGCUGGACUGCAACUGACGUUGAGGCCCGAAAGCGUGGGGAGCAAACAGG
RNAcentral lists this ribosomal RNA (253 nucleotides) under uncultured bacterium. RNAcentral's name for it is "partial 16S ribosomal RNA". It matches the Rfam family "Bacterial small subunit ribosomal RNA", at positions 524 to 776 of the family's 1533-position model. The record is from RNAcentral.